CUAAGGAUGGUUCUUCAGAAGCUUGCUUCUAUCGAACCGUUUUAGAAACAUCAGUGGCCAACGGUCGUCAGGAUCGUUGAGCUGCAUUGGCGGGAUUUCGCCGUCUUCGUUUCUCUUUCUUCGCGGACGAACACGCGCUGGGGCUGCAACCUUGCAGAAUCCCUGGUCCUUGACUGGAUAUGCGUUAGGGGCUUGUAGCUCAGUUGGUUAGAGCGCGCGCUUGAUAAGCGUGAGGUCGGAAGUUCAAGUCUUCCCAGGCCCACCACACUCAUCGAGUGAGCAUUCGUCUUCUGGUUACGGGGCCAUAGCUCAGCUGGGAGAGCGCGUGCUUUGCAAGCAUGAGGUCGUCGGUUCGAUCCCGUCUGGCUCCACCAGAUGGUUUGAUCACCGACUACUCAUACCGUCGUCCGCGAAACAUCACUUCGCACUUACUAGUCCGGAUGGACAGUAAGCUGCGUGAUUUCUGACAUCGUAAAGAGGAGAUCGAUCCGAGUUGGAUCGGGCAACAAGCAAUUGUUGCGCGAUACUUCAUUAUCUCCGGAUCAUUUCGGCGCUCGUGCGUCUUCCAGGGUAGCUCACAAGGCUGCAUUGAAAGACGAGCGAGUUGUAAAUGAUCCUUUUAGCGAAGCUUGACCGCCUCGCUAUCGGAACGAUCUUACGAAGCAAGCUGGUCUUUCUAAUCAUUGUCCGGCUGCAGAUAGCGUUCAUCGAGGGCGCGUGCCGCAAGGUAAUUCUGCAGACAACAUUCUGCCGAGUGUGUGGACAUUGAUAAUGAGAGC
This 779-nucleotide transfer RNA is filed under the name Bradyrhizobium canariense bv. genistearum. The stretch from base 189 to 262 matches the Rfam family "tRNA". The record is from RNAcentral. Lineage: Bacteria; Pseudomonadati; Pseudomonadota; Alphaproteobacteria; Hyphomicrobiales; Nitrobacteraceae.